AUUGAACGCUGGCGGCAUGCCUUACACAUGCAAGUCGAGCGGCAGCGCGGGGGCAACCCUGGCGGCGAGCGGCGAACGGGUGAGUAAUACAUCGGAACGUGUCCAGUAGCGGGGGAUAACCUGUCGAAAGAUAGGCUAAUACCGCAUACGACCUACGGGAGAAAGCGGGGGACUCUUGGGCAACUGAGGGCCUCGCACUGUUGGAGCGGCCGAUGUCGGAUUAGCAGUUGGCGGGGUAAAAGCCCACCAAGGCGACGAUCCGUAGCUGGUCUGAGAGGACGACCAGCCACACUGGAACUGAGACACGGUCCAGACUCCUACGGGAGGCAGCAGUGGGGAAUUUUGGACAAUGGGCGCAAGCCUGAUCCAGCCAUGCCGCGUGAGUGAAGAAGGCC
This 395-nucleotide ribosomal RNA is filed under the name uncultured bacterium. Its description in RNAcentral is "bacterial SSU rRNA". It matches the Rfam family "Bacterial small subunit ribosomal RNA", at positions 29 to 416 of the family's 1533-position model. The record is from RNAcentral.